Molecule: ribosomal RNA, 301 nt
Filed under: uncultured bacterium
Lineage: Bacteria
Description: partial 16S ribosomal RNA
Rfam family: Bacterial small subunit ribosomal RNA
Source: RNAcentral
CAGCCGCCACGGGAAUACGUAGGGCGCAAGCGUUGUCCGGAAUUAUUGGGCGUAAAGAGCUCGUAGGCGGUCUGUCGCGUCUGGUGUGAAAUCCCGAGGCUCAACCUCGGGCUUGCAUCGGGUACGGGCAGACUAGAGUGCGGUAGGGGAGACUGGAAUUCCUGGUGUAGCGGUGGAAUGCGCAGAUAUCAGGAGGAACACCGAUGGCGAAGGCAGGUCUCUGGGCCGCAACUGACGCUGAGGAGCGAAAGCAUGGGGAGCGAACAGGAUUAGAUACCCCCGUAGUCCCUGUCUCUUAUAA